RNAcentral lists this unclassified non-coding RNA (253 nucleotides) under uncultured Pseudomonadaceae bacterium. Its description in RNAcentral is "contains 16S-23S intergenic spacer region". It matches the Rfam family "Bacterial small subunit ribosomal RNA", at positions 524 to 776 of the family's 1533-position model. The record is from RNAcentral. Lineage: Bacteria; Pseudomonadati; Pseudomonadota; Gammaproteobacteria; Pseudomonadales; Pseudomonadaceae.
UACAGAGGGUGCAAGCGUUACUCGGAAUUACUGGGCGUAAAGCGCGCGCAGGCGGUCUGUCAAGUUGGAUGUGAAAGCCCCGGGCUCAACCUGGGAACUGCAUCCAAAACUGGCAAGCUAGAGUACGGUAGAGGGUGGUAGAAUUUCCUGUGUAGCGGUGAAAUGCGUAGAUAUAGGAAGGAACACCAGUGGCGAAGGCGGCCACCUGGACAGAUACUGACGCUGAGGUGCGAAAGCGUGGGGAGCAAACAGG